Molecule: ribosomal RNA, 374 nt
Filed under: uncultured Alphaproteobacteria bacterium
Lineage: Bacteria; Pseudomonadati; Pseudomonadota; Alphaproteobacteria
Description: bacterial SSU rRNA
Rfam family: Bacterial small subunit ribosomal RNA
Source: RNAcentral
UAAUACGAAGGGACCUAGCGUAGUUCGGAAUUACUGGGCUUAAAGAGUUCGUAGGUGGUUAAAAUAGUUGGUGGUGAAAUCCCAGAGCUUAACUCUGGAACUGCCAUCAAAACUUUUUAGCUAGAGUAUGGUAGAGGAAAGCAGAAUUUCUAGUGUAGAGGUGAAAUUCGUAGAUAUUAGAAAGAAUACCAAUUGCGAAGGCAGCUUUCUGGAUCAUUACUGACACUGAGGAACGAAAGCAUGGGUAGCGAAGAGGAUUAGAUACCCUCGUAGUCCAUGCCGUAAACGAUGUGUGUUAGACGUUGGAAAUUUAUUUUUCAGUGUCGCAGCGAAAGCGAUAAACACACCGCCUGGGGAGUACGACCGCAAGGUUA